AACCGUUUAUUCACCCCCAUCCCAGUCAAGGGAAGGGGGGGCCUUUUUUUUUUUAAAGUGGAAAAUGCUUGGAUGACCGGGGCGGGGGAGGGGAGUGGGGAGCUGCAGAGUUAAAGGCAAUUAACUGUUUUCUGGAAAUAGGGAACUGAUGUGCUUUAGGGAUGCAUUUACAUUAUCACUUAACAUCCUGAAGUAACCAGAAGAUAGUUUGCAGUAUAUAGAGUGGUAUGACAGCCACUUUAAAGUGCUUUUAAAAUAUUUAAGUUUUUGGCUUUCACUCUCACCAGUGACCAAAGACUUGACCACUCAAAGUCCAGCUCCCUGUAACUGCUAGACAUGGACACCGGUGUGAUUGAAGGUGGAUUAAAUGUCACUCUCACCAUCAGGCUACUUAUGCACGGAAAGAAGAAAAAAAAAAAAAAGAGAGUGGUGCACGUAUCAACAUCUCAGAAGGGAAUUGUCCUGAGAGAAUUAUAACUUUGGCUGGACCGACUAAUGCCAUCUUCAAAGCCUUUGCUAUGAUCAUUGACAAACUGGAAGA
This 541-nucleotide long non-coding RNA is filed under the name Rattus norvegicus (Norway rat). Its description in RNAcentral is "long non-coding RNA NONRATT026343". The record is from RNAcentral. Lineage: Eukaryota; Metazoa; Chordata; Mammalia; Rodentia; Muridae.